AUUGAACGCUGGCGGCAGGCCUAACACAUGCAAGUCGGACGGUAGCACAGAGGAGCUUGCUCCUCGGGUGACGAGUGGCGGACGGGUGAGUAAUGUCUGGGGAUCUGCCCGAUAGAGGGGGAUAACCACUGGAAACGGUGGCUAAUACCGCAUAACGUCGCAAGACCAAAGAGGGGGACCUUCGGGCCUCUCAAUAUCGGAUGAACCCAGAUGGGAUUAGCUAGUAGGCGGGGUAACGGCCCACCUAGGCGACGAUCCCGAGCUGGUCUGAGAGGAUGACCAGCCACACUGGAACUGAGACACGGUCCAGACUCCUACGGGAGGCAGCAGUGGGGAAUAUUGCACAAUGGGCGCAAGCCUGAUGCAGCCAUGCCGCGUGUAUGAAGAAGGCCUUCGGGUUGUAAAGUACUUUCAGCGGGGAGGAAGGCGAUGUGGUUAAUAACCGCGUCGAUUGACGUUACCCGCAGAAGAAGCACCGGCUAACUCCGUGCCAGCCGCCGCAGUAA
RNAcentral lists this ribosomal RNA (506 nucleotides) under uncultured bacterium. Its description in RNAcentral is "partial 16S ribosomal RNA". It matches the Rfam family "Bacterial small subunit ribosomal RNA", at positions 29 to 523 of the family's 1533-position model. The record is from RNAcentral.